GUCCCCCCAACCUCUGUCACGCGCUUCUCCGUCAUCAUAGAUGGUGGCAGCACCGGCACCCGGACCCACAUCUUCGCCGCGGGGCCUGUGAUGCGUGUCUCCUCGGGGCUCUCAUCCUUCGCCGCCGAGGUGGCGUGCGCGGGGGAGUCGCUGCGGCCGCUGAUGGAGUUCGCGAGGGAGAGGGUCGGGGGCGCCGCUGCGGAGACGGAGGUGCGGCUGGUGGCCACCGCUGAGCUACCCCAACACCAGCUCCAAGGCACCCAGCGUCCCCUCCUUCGACGAGCACAAUGACCCGCUCCUUCCCAUCGUUACCUUCUCGCUGCCCUCGAUGCCCACGUCCCGGCGGGAGCUCCACCGCCGCCUCUCCCCCGAGCUCGCUCAGCAAAGAGGAAGGGCCAAGGAACAACAGUUUGUCCAAAAGGUGCAGAAAAUGCUUAUGGAGGAAGAGAACAAGAGGAUACAUAUUGCGCAAGGACUACCAUGGACUACUGAUGAGCCUGAGUGCUUGUUGAAGCCACCCAUCAAAGAAAGAACUGAGCCGAUCGACCUUGUUCUCCAUAGCGAUGUACGCGCAGUUGGACGUGUUAAAUUCGAUCAAUAUGUUCGCUGAGCAACUAAGGCUGGAGAAAAUGAGAUAACUCAUUCCACUGAACACAAGAAUGCCAAUAGUCAACACUUUAUUUCUAGAUUUAUAACUAAUAGUUUACAAUCUGUUGAGUAGCACUAGAGGAAAGAGGCUAAUUCAAUCGCGGGGUCGCUCAUUCAUAUUUUCAACUGCUUUGCCAGUGCCAGUAGUUGCUUCUGUGCAUGUUGCCCUCUUUGUCUCGCGGAAGGAGAAAUGGCGGAGAUCAGUGAUCUAGGGGUAUGUGCAGUAUUUUGCUUCUUUGACCAAACUCGACAUAACUAGCCCCAUCAUUUCCAUUGUAGUUGGAAGCGAAAAAGUAGCACUCAAGGCUGGCAGGCAUCUUCUAAACUCUGGAUUUCAUGUUACACCAAUCCGACCACCCACAGUUCCACUAAACUCUUGCAGUGUUCUCAUCCUACCUGUGUGUUGCGUAUCACCCUCUUUGUGCACGUGCUGCUAAUCUUUGCGUUGAGCUUGAAGAUGAUGACAAAAUCCACCUCAUGUUACUUGAUGAGGAUGAGAAUCCAUGCAUUCGGCUACUCUUGUACUGCAAAAAGCACAGAUAGCCAUCUGCUGAACGUCCAUCUCUAAAAAGUAACCCUGAUGAGCGCGCUCAGGUAGUUCAGACGAAAUUGGCUUCAUCAUCUGGUUGUGCAAGGACAGAUGAUUGAAUAUAUCCUUUUGCUAUUUGUAUGGCAGCGCGAGAUGGAGACCUUCACCAUGCUCAUUGUCAAUUUGAUUGUUGUUUUAUUGCAAUGCAUGUGUUUCACCCGUUGACUAU
Molecule: long non-coding RNA, 1406 nt
Organism: Phragmites australis (common reed)
Lineage: Eukaryota; Viridiplantae; Streptophyta; Magnoliopsida; Poales; Poaceae
Exons: 9
Source: RefSeq, a predicted model, not a curated record